CCUACGGGAGGCUGCAGUGGGGAAUAUUGGACAAUGGGCGAAAGCCUGAUCCAGCCAUGCCGCGUGUGUGAAGAAGGCCUUCGGGUUGUAAAGCACUUUCAGUGGGGAAGAAAGCCUUGGGGCUAAUACCCUCGAGGAAGGACAUCACCCACAGAAGAAGCACCGGCUAACUCCGUGCCAGCAGCCGCGGUAAUACGGAGGGUGCGAGCGUUAAUCGGAAUCACUGGGCGUAAAGCGCGCGUAGGCGGUCUGAUAAGCCGGUUGUGAAAGCCCCGGGCUCAACCUGGGAACGGCAUCCGGAACUGUCAGGCUAGAGUGCAGGAGAGGAAGGUAGAAUUCCCGGUGUAGCGGUGAAAUGCGUAGAGAUCGGGAGGAAUACCAGUGGCGAAGGCGGCCUUCUGGACUGACACUGACGCUGAGGUGCGAAAGCGUGGGUAGCAAACAGGAUUAGAUACCCUGGUAGUC
RNAcentral lists this ribosomal RNA (465 nucleotides) under Vreelandella stevensii. RNAcentral describes it as "partial 16S ribosomal RNA". It matches the Rfam family "Bacterial small subunit ribosomal RNA", at positions 338 to 795 of the family's 1533-position model. Lineage: Bacteria; Pseudomonadati; Pseudomonadota; Gammaproteobacteria; Oceanospirillales; Halomonadaceae. The record is from RNAcentral.